This 253-nucleotide ribosomal RNA is filed under the name uncultured bacterium. RNAcentral's name for it is "partial 16S ribosomal RNA". It matches the Rfam family "Bacterial small subunit ribosomal RNA", at positions 524 to 776 of the family's 1533-position model. The record is from RNAcentral.
UACGUAGGUGACCAGCGUUGUCCGGAUUUACUGGGCGUAAAGAGCGCGCAGGCGGUCGUUCAAGUCGCGUGUGAAAGCCCCCGGCUCAACUGGGGAGGGUCGUCGGAUACUGCGGAACUGGAGGACGGUAGAGGCGUGUGGAAUUCCGGGUGUAGUGGUGAAAUGCGUAGAGAUCCGGAGGAACACCAGUGGCGAAGGCGACACGCUGGGCCGUACCUGACACUGAUGCGCGACAGCAUGGGGAGCAAACAGG